Arabidopsis thaliana (thale cress) is the source of this 432-nucleotide RNA transcript. RefSeq lists it as uncharacterized. The record is from RefSeq. NCBI's taxonomy places the organism in Eukaryota, Viridiplantae, Streptophyta, Magnoliopsida, Brassicales, Brassicaceae. The transcript has a single exon.
UAUUUUCUAUCAUAUACAAACGGAAAUGAAUUCAUGAAGAUGAAUUUCAAAUUUCCAGAAUUUAUUUCCUCAUCACUGCAAAUCCGGAAAGAAAAUCACCGCUACCAUAUUUGCAUCUUUAUUUCGAUUUUGGAAAUCAAAAGGGAGAAGGGAAGCCACAAAGGGUCUAGUCUCUAUCAUCACCAAUCUCAAACAUGUAAAUUUUCAAUUUGAUUUUGAAUUAAAGAGGUUGAUUCAAUUGAAUUAAACAUGUAGAAUUCUAUCAUCAAAAAUCGAGUUUAAGUUAAACAUGUAAUCGAAGAGGUUGAUUCGAUUUAAUUCCCCAAACAUGUAAUUGAUUUAAUAUGUGUUUAAAAUUGGAAAUCUUGGGUUCCCUAUACACCAUCUUAGGAUUUAGAUUUCCUUUACCAAAAUAUAUGUAAUUGGAUCUAU